RNAcentral lists this ribosomal RNA (465 nucleotides) under uncultured bacterium. RNAcentral's name for it is "bacterial SSU rRNA". It matches the Rfam family "Bacterial small subunit ribosomal RNA", at positions 419 to 902 of the family's 1533-position model. The record is from RNAcentral.
CGGAUCGCUAAACUUCUAUCAGCAGGGAAGAAAUUGACAGUACCUGACUAAGAAGCCCCGGCUAACUACNUGCCAGCAGCCGCGGUAAUACGUAGGGGGCAAGCGUUAUCCGGAAUUACUGGGUGUAAAGGGUGCGUAGGCGGUAAUACAAGUCAGAUGUGAAAGCCCAAGGCUUAACCUUGGGAUUGCAUUUGAAACUGUAUAACUAGAGUACAGGAGAGGAAAGUGGAAUUCCUAGUGUAGCGGUGAAAUGCGUAGAUAUUAGGAGGAACACCGGUGGCGAAGGCGACUUUCUGGACUGUAACUGACGCUGAGGCACNAAAGCGUGGGGAGCGAACAGGAUUAGAUACCCUGGUAGUCCACGCUGUAAACGAUGAAUGCUAGGUGUUGGCCCGUGAAGGGUCGGUGCCGCAGCUAACGCAUUAAGCAUUCCACCUGGGGAGUACGAUCGCAAGGUUGAAACUC